RNAcentral lists this ribosomal RNA (406 nucleotides) under uncultured bacterium. RNAcentral describes it as "partial 16S ribosomal RNA". It matches the Rfam family "Bacterial small subunit ribosomal RNA", at positions 30 to 526 of the family's 1533-position model. The record is from RNAcentral.
AUUGAACGCUGGCGGCAGGCUUAACACAUGCAAGUCGAACGAGUGGCGGACGGGUGAGUAAUGUCUGGGAAUCUGCCCGAUGGAGGGGGAUAACUACUGGAAACUGUAGCUAAUACCGCAUACCAUCGGAUGUGCCCAGAUGGGAUUAGGUAGUAGGUGGGGUAACGGCUCACCAAGCCGACGAUCCCUAGCUGGUCUGAGAGGAUGACCAGCCACACUGGAACUGAGACACGGCCCAGACUCCUACGGGAGGCAGCAGUGGGGAAUAUUGCACAAUGGGAGCAAGCCUGAUGCAGCCAUGCCGCGUGAAUGAAGAAGGCCUUCGGGUUGUAAAGUACUUUCAGUGGGGAGGCGUUAAUCGCAGAAGAAGCACCGGCUAACUCCGUGCCAGCAGCCGCGGUAAUAC